RNAcentral lists this small nuclear RNA (107 nucleotides) under Procavia capensis (Cape rock hyrax). Lineage: Eukaryota; Metazoa; Chordata; Mammalia; Hyracoidea; Procaviidae. The record is from RNAcentral.
GUGCUCGCUUCAGCAGCACAUACGCUAUGAUCAGAGCAGUACAGAAAAGAUUAGCAUGGCCCCUGCACAAGGAUGACACACAAAUUCGUGAAGUGUUCUAUAUUUUU